GGGGCAAACCUCAAGUUUACAAAUUGACCUAUCAUACAUCAAUAUACAUUUACUAAAGUUUUACAUGAACUAAUACCAAUUACCAAAUAGUAAUUACUUACACGUAAUUAUUAGUUGUUCUCUCUAAUAGAUCUCUUAGCACAAAUCCAAGCUUAACCUGCAUGUGUAUCGAUAUUUCAAGAUACUAACCCAAUAUCAAUCCUUCAAUUCAACAAUCAAGUUGUAUCUUGUUCCAAAUGAAAGCAAAACAGUUUCCG
RNAcentral lists this long non-coding RNA (257 nucleotides) under Helianthus annuus (common sunflower). RNAcentral describes it as "sRNA HanXRQr2_Chr05g0235401". Lineage: Eukaryota; Viridiplantae; Streptophyta; Magnoliopsida; Asterales; Asteraceae. The record is from RNAcentral.